GCUAGGAUGAACGCUAGCGACAGGCCUAACACAUGCAAGUCGAGGGGCAGCACAAGGAGCAAUCUGAGGUGGCGACCGGCGCACGGGUGAGUAACACGUAUGCAACCUGCCUGUAAGCGGGGAAUAACCCGUUGAAAGACGGACUUAUACCGCAUAAUACUAAAUUACUGCAUGGUAAUUUAUUUAAACAUUUAUGGCUUACAGAUGGGCAUGCGCAUGAUUAGCUAGUUGGAGAGGUAACGGCUCCCCAAGGCAACGAUCAUUAGGGGUUCUGAGAGGAAGGUCCCCCACACUGGUACUGAGACACGGACCAGACUCCUACGGGAGGCAGCAGUGAGGAAUAUUGGUCAAUGGACGAGAGUCUGAACCAGCCAAGUCGCGUGCAGGAAGAAUGUUCCCUAUGGAUUGUAAACUGCUUUUGCAGGGGAAUAAAGUGCAUCACGUGUGAUGUUUUGUAUGUACUCUGCGAAUAAGGAUCGGCUAACUCCGUGCCAGCCGCUGC
This 502-nucleotide ribosomal RNA is filed under the name uncultured bacterium. RNAcentral describes it as "bacterial SSU rRNA". It matches the Rfam family "Bacterial small subunit ribosomal RNA", at positions 26 to 518 of the family's 1533-position model. The record is from RNAcentral.